CACGUAGUUAGCCGGGGCUUUCUUCUCAGGUACCGUCACUCUGAGUGCAGUUACUCACUCAGACGUUCUUCCCUGGCAACAGAGCUUUACGAUCCGAAAACCUUCAUCACUCACGCGGCGUUGCUCCGUCAGACUUGCGUCCAUUGCGGAAGAUUCCCUACUGCUGCCUCCCGUAGGAGUCUGGGCCGUGUCUCAGUCCCAGUGUGGCCGAUCACCCUCUCAGGUCGGCUACGCAUCGUCGCCUUGGUGAGCCGUUACCUCACCAACUAGCUAAUGCGCCGCAGGCCCAUCCUCAAGUGACAGAUUGCUCCGUCUUUCCAAAUUCGUUCAGGCGAACAAAUCAUGUAUUCGGUAUUAGCUACCGUUUCCGGUAGUUGUCCCAAGCUUGAGGGCAGGUUGCCUACGUGUUACUCACCCGUCCGCCGCUAAGUAUCAAAGAAGCAAGCUUCUUUGAUACUCCGCUCGACUUGCAUGUAUUAGGCACGCCGCC
Molecule: ribosomal RNA, 490 nt
Filed under: uncultured Paenibacillaceae bacterium
Lineage: Bacteria; Bacillati; Bacillota; Bacilli; Caryophanales; Paenibacillaceae
Description: partial 16S ribosomal RNA
Source: RNAcentral